RNAcentral lists this ribosomal RNA (465 nucleotides) under Vreelandella stevensii. Its description in RNAcentral is "partial 16S ribosomal RNA". It matches the Rfam family "Bacterial small subunit ribosomal RNA", at positions 338 to 795 of the family's 1533-position model. The record is from RNAcentral. Lineage: Bacteria; Pseudomonadati; Pseudomonadota; Gammaproteobacteria; Oceanospirillales; Halomonadaceae.
CCUACGGGGUGCUGCAGUGGGGAAUAUUGGACAAUGGGCGAAAGCCUGAUCCAGCCAUGCCGCGUGUGUGAAGAAGGCCUUCGGGUUGUAAAGCACUUUCAGUGGGGAAGAAAGCCUUGGGGCUAAUACCCUCGAGGAAGGACAUCACCCACAGAAGAAGCACCGGCUAACUCCGUGCCAGCAGCCGCGGUAAUACGGAGGGUGCGAGCGUUAAUCGGAAUUACUGGGCGUAAAGCGCGCGUAGGCGGUCUGAUAAGCCGGUUGUGAAAGCCCCGGGCUCAACCUGGGAACGGCAUCCGGAACUGUCAGGCUAGAGUGCAGGAGAGGAAGGUAGAAUUCCCGGUGUAGCGGUGAAAUGCGUAGAGAUCGGGAGGAAUACCAGUGGCGAAGGCGGCCUUCUGGACUGACACUGACGCUGAGGUGCGAAAGCGUGGGUAGCAAACAGGAUUAGAUACCCCAGUAGUC